AUUAUUAUUAUUAUUAUUAUUAUUAUGUCUUGCUUUCUUUUUGCUUGCUAGUGAAUUCUAGUAACUGCCACUAUGGUGACCUAGCUAUUCAGCUGAUAGGGACUAUAGUGAUAGGAACUAGUGAAAAUCAAUUAAGUUAGAUAUUUUCUAACAAAAAAAGAAACAAUUAAAUGUAUUUUUAACUUAAUUCCAGAAUAAUUUAAGUAAUUAAAUGAGAGACCAUGCUCAAGAGCCAAUAGAUUUUACAUUUCCUGCGUAAGCCUCCUGGAUUUCUAAUAAACUGUUUCUUUAGUCCCUAGAGUUGGGGAAUUACAGCGUUGAAAUGACAAGAUUCAAACUUCUUAUUUGAGAAUAGUUCUAAUGAGAGCAAUUGUUUAAGGACUUUGAAGCAAGUCCCUGCCUUGGUAUUGACACAUCUGGAGACAAAUUUAGUUGUAAAAGUUGCUUUCCAUUGCUUUGUGUGUGAGAAAAGGACUGAUGGAAUGACAUAAAACCUGAAAAUUUUCAAAGCUCUCCAUGUGGCUGGGAUGGACAACAGAAUUGUUGAUGCUCUUUCCUGCCAACAGAUGGAUUGCAUCAGACAACUGGCUCCAGAUGCAGAUGCCUGUCAAGAUCCAAAGCCUGCAUUUCUAUGGAGGCUUGGAGAGAUAAGGUUGUAUGGUCGUAAGGCCUCUCCUUAGCUCCUAGUACUGUGAGAAGUUGUAAGAAGAAUGGUAGGGAAUUUGAACAAUUUAGGUCAGGGGAGGGUCUUCAGGCUCUUUGACCGAUCCUUAUUUCACAUGUUUUGCGAUUUUCUGUCCAAGUGAAGGAUAGGUGCCUGGCUGUACAAUACAUUAGGGCUUGUUUGUCAGGCUGGCCUUUGCUUCCAGGGCCCAAGGGUACCAGAAAAACACAAGUAACUUCAAAGUUCACAAAACAUUGGAUGGAUGGUCCUGGGAGCAUGGUAGAGUGUCUGACAGGCAUGAACCAUUAUCCUCCAACGUCCUUAUGUGGCUAGGGGGCAUUUUGUCAAUCAUUUGUGCCUCAAAUUAUGAGGCCAUUAUGUUCCAUGUGGCAUCUUUGACUACCUUUUUGGGGACUUGCAAGUUAAUGAACUGGUCAUGUUGUCUAGAAGGUAUGUAUUGAGUACAGCAUCGGAGCUGAGGGAUUUUCAGGGCAGCAGGUAGUAUUGCGGAUCCGUACAUGAUCUAAGAUGGAACAGAAGAGAGUAGGAGCAAAGUAACAUUGGGGUUUUGUAUUGAUAUGACUUUAUGUACUGUGUGUUCAUUACACAGUUAUACACAGGUCAGGGUAGCUAGACUAGGUUCUUUAUUUUCUCAUGCUGACUUUUUGCCCCUUACCAAAUACCAGUUUUUGGCCAUUACCUCCAAGGCCUUGCAGCACUUGGGCAUUAGGUUUCUCUCUGCUCUUGCACCUUUCCAGGUUCAAAGCAGUUGGAUAGGUUUUAUGUUAAAUAAAGUAGU
Sceloporus undulatus (fence lizard) is the source of this 1463-nucleotide long non-coding RNA. RefSeq lists it as uncharacterized. Lineage: Eukaryota; Metazoa; Chordata; Lepidosauria; Squamata; Phrynosomatidae. The record is from RefSeq and is a predicted model, not a curated record. The transcript has 4 exons.